RNAcentral lists this transfer RNA (73 nucleotides) under Camelus bactrianus (Bactrian camel). It matches the Rfam family "tRNA". From Rfam's summary of the family: Transfer RNA (tRNA) molecules are approximately 80 nucleotides in length. Their secondary structure includes four short double-helical elements and three loops (D, anti-codon, and T loops). Further hydrogen bonds mediate the characteristic L-shaped molecular structure. tRNAs have two regions of fundamental functional importance: the anti-codon, which is responsible for specific mRNA codon recognition, and the 3' end, to which the tRNAs corresponding amino acid is attached (by aminoacyl-tRNA synthetases). tRNAs cope with the degeneracy of the genetic code in two manners: having more than one tRNA (with a specific anti-codon) for a particular amino acid; and 'wobble' base-pairing, i.e. permitting non-standard base-pairing at the 3rd anti-codon position. Lineage: Eukaryota; Metazoa; Chordata; Mammalia; Artiodactyla; Camelidae. RNAcentral also lists the same sequence under 2 other names. The record is from Rfam by way of RNAcentral.
GAAGGUAACAGCUCAGUGAUGGAGCAUGUGCUUAACAUGCAUGAGGUUCUGGGUUCAGUCCCCAGUACCUCCA